UCAAAUUCGGCUUUCAGUGUUCCGAAUGUAGUAACCUGGUAGCACCUCACUUCGCCGAGAAGGCUAAUGAUUGCAUUCGAAUGGGCUUUGAUUCUCGCCGGAUCCUUCCCAUGCGGAUCCUGCAGAUGUUUAAUCUUGAUUGUUCAUGUAUUAAUCUUGUGGCCACAAGUCAAUACCAUUAUAUUUUGGCAUUUUCACGAAAAACCAUACUUCACUGGCCCUUUCUCUCCCUCUCACUGUCUCUCUCUCUCACCCAAACAAGCAAUGCAACCAAAGUAAUGGCAGAGAGUCUCUCCUUCUGCCUUACCAACGAUGCAACUAAAAUCCCCAAUCUUCCUCAUCUCCUUUUCCCACAAACCAAUCUCAUCUCUCACACCCAAAAAUUCACUCAAAAUCCCCAAUAUUCUUU
RNAcentral lists this long non-coding RNA (409 nucleotides) under Malus domestica (apple). RNAcentral describes it as "long non-coding RNA (MDOM_LNC010753)". Lineage: Eukaryota; Viridiplantae; Streptophyta; Magnoliopsida; Rosales; Rosaceae. The record is from RNAcentral.